GCCGGAUCUGGCCAAGCCUCCUGCCAGUCGAGGCCCUUUACCUUCCAGUCACACCAAGAACUAAAACAGGAUCAGCCAAAGGUUUUGAAGAAACCCAAACUGGACAGACAGUUACUGAAUUUUUGUAAUGUCCGAGGCUUCCAGGAGGAGUGACACAUAUCUCUGCUGGAUGAGCUCACAGUUCCAAUGAGAAGAUACAAGCUGAAAGAUUGCAGCAGAACUGGGAAGUGAAAGCACGGAGAGGCUGUGGGACAUGGAGGAGGGGCGGUAAGAUUGAGAAAGAGGUAACAGUUGGGGUGACUUUGGACCUGAGAC
Molecule: long non-coding RNA, 315 nt
Filed under: Homo sapiens (human)
Lineage: Eukaryota; Metazoa; Chordata; Mammalia; Primates; Hominidae
Description: HSALNT0252746
Source: RNAcentral